Long non-coding RNA from Ursus maritimus (polar bear), 1596 nucleotides. The record is from Ensembl. NCBI's taxonomy places the organism in Eukaryota, Metazoa, Chordata, Mammalia, Carnivora, Ursidae.
GACCACAUCAGUUGGGGAAAUAACUCUUUAUCCCGGCUUGCAGCCACGAGGUCUUGAUUGGGGGAGGGGUGGUAAAGAAUAGUCCCUUUGCUGCUGCUUUUUCCCUCUCUUCGGAGCUGUACAGUACAGUUAACGACUGUUGUGGAUUAUACUGGAGUAUUUCAGGAUCUUUUUAAAUAAGACGUGAAUCUCGUACCUGUGGGGUUUUCAACUUUAUUCUCUUAACACGUUUUCACCCAUAUACAUUGUUGGUCUUUUAAACAUUUGCCAGUGUUCCUUGACUGUGUUAUCCUAGGUUUAGCAAAUGGAUGUAACUAAUUGAUAUAAGGGUGUUAGAAAAGAGCAAAUUUAAAUUUAAAUAUGGGAUUGGAGGAUGAUAAUAAUUUUCAGCAAAUAUGUUUGUCUUUUUUCCCUGUUUCCCCACCCCCCAUCCCAGUCAUAACACGUGGACCUAACUGCACCAAAAGCUUUUCUAAGGAUACUUGCUGAGAAGAAAGUUUUCCCUAUUGGGUAAGUGUAUUCUUCUUCUUCUUCUUGUUUUUUUUUCUUGGUUAACUUUUCUUUAAAUCAAUUUUUUUAUUUUAAUCUCUUAUUUCAGUAAAUAGAUGGGAUUGGGUUUUCAAAGAGUGAAAUAGGUAUUUUGUACUUUGUCCAUUUACCUUUUUUAGAAAAUUAACUCAAUGUGGGUCAGCUAAUAUUUAAGUUAGUAAUAACAGUGGAAACUGAUGCAGUUUACCAAAUGUAAUUUUAGAACUGCUUUGAGUGGUACAAUAGAUUUGAUCUGGAGUAAGUUUUCAAGAUUCAAAGAAAUUUAAACAGGAUGUUUGAGUUCUGCAACCAGCUAAUGCACUUGAAAUGUAGUCUGAACAGUAAUUCUGUUAAUCAGUUUGCCAAGUAUUUGCUAAUUGGAAGCCAGAAGAAAAGGAAAAUGUUUUGCCACGUGGAUGUGAAGAUUCCCUCUAAAAGGCAAACCUGUCUAAGCAGAACAAGCCAGAUUUGGGUUUUCCCCUGUAGUUGGAAGAGCCCUACAGAAUGAUUCCUGACAAAAUGCAACCUGCAAUUACCUGAAGACCAAUUCAGUGUUACAGUCAAGUUUAUUAUGUAUUUAAUGAAAUAUUGUUCUGUUAGUAAUUGACAAGUAUGGUGUAGUUGUCUGUCAUUAGAAAAUUAGCCUCUUAGCUGAGUAGUAAAGGUAAGGAGAGCACAAGUAUACAAGGCCAGUAUUUGGUGUCCAACUAAAAAUAAGACGAUCAUGUCUGCUUGAGUUUUUGCAGGUUAUUCUUUGCCUUAGAGGUUGUUGAGCUUACACUGUUUUUAGAAGUCUGAAUUAAAAUGUAGCUUUCUGUUGAUAAGUUCAGUUCCUGAUGUAAUAGUCUUCAUGAGUUGUAAAGCAUAACUAAGAUAGUUGUAUCCUAUGAAUUUUAAGACCAUAGGGAAAUUGUUCAAGAAGGCUGAGUUUUCUUUUUCCAGUAAUUUAAACAGGCACAGCAUUCAGAGAGGCCUACUUACGUAUUUGCAAUUCAGUCAUGCUGUUUGAGUUGUUUUGGUGCAUUUAAUGUAAAUAAAUCACAUAUUUUAAGACUGUUAAGAAAUUGU